Molecule: ribosomal RNA, 587 nt
Filed under: uncultured bacterium
Lineage: Bacteria
Description: bacterial SSU rRNA
Rfam family: Bacterial small subunit ribosomal RNA
Source: RNAcentral
CCUACGGGAGGCAGCAGUAGGGAAUCUUCCGCAAUGGACGAAAGUCUGACGGAGCAACGCCGCGUGAGCGAUGAAGGCCUUCGGGUCGUAAAGCUCUGUUGUCAGGGAAGAACAAGUAUCGGAGUAACUGCCGAUACCUUGACGGUACCUAACCAGAAAGCCACGGCUAACUACGUGCCAGCAGCCGCGGUAAUACGUAGGUGGCAAGCGUUGUCCGGAAUUAUUGGGCGUAAAGCGCGCGCAGGCGGUCCUUUAAGUCUGAUGUGAAAGCCCACGGCUCAACCGGGGAGGGUCAUUGGAAACUGGGGAACUUGAGUGCAGAAGAGGAGAGCGGAAUUCCACGUGUAGCGGUGAAAUGCGUAGAGAUGUGGAGGAACACCAGUGGCGAAGGCGGCUCUCUGGUCUGUAACUGACGCUGAGGCGCGAAAGCGUGGGGAGCGAACAGGAUUAGAUACCCUGGUAGUCCACGCCGUAAACGAUGAGUGCUAAGUGUUAGAGGGUUUCCGCCCUUUAGUGCUGCAGCAAACGCAUUAAGCACUCCGCCUGGGGAGUACGGCCGCAAGGCUGAAACUUAAAGGAAUUGACGG